RNAcentral lists this ribosomal RNA (482 nucleotides) under uncultured bacterium. RNAcentral describes it as "partial 16S ribosomal RNA". It matches the Rfam family "Bacterial small subunit ribosomal RNA", at positions 30 to 507 of the family's 1533-position model. The record is from RNAcentral.
AUUGAACGCUGGCGGCAUGCCUUACACAUGCAAAUCGAACGGUAACGGGCCUUCGGGUGCCGACGAGUGGCGAACGGGUGAGUAAUACAUCGGAACGUGCCCGAUCGUGGGGGAUAACGAGGCGAAAGCUUUGCUAAUACCGCAUACGAUCUACGGAUGAAAGCAGGGGACCGCAAGGCCUUGCGGGGACGGAGCGGCCGAUGGCAGAUAAGGGAGUUGGUGGGAUAAAAGCUUACCAAGCCGACGAUCUCUAGCUGGUCUGAGAGGAUGAUCAGGCACACUGGGACUGAGACAAGGCCCAGACUCCUACGGGAGGCAGCAGUGGGGAAUUUUGGACAAUGGGCGCAAGCCUGAUCCAGCCAUGCCGCGUGCAGGAUGAAGGCCUUCGGGUUGUAAACUGAUUUUGUACGGAACGAAAAGCCUUCUUUUAAUACAGGAGGGUCAUGACGGUACCGUAAGAAUAAGCACCGGCUAACUACGUG